CCGGCGUGCCUAAUACAUGCAAGUCGAACGAACUCUGGUAUUGAUUGGUGCUUGCAUCAUGAUUUACAUUUGAGUGAGUGGCGAACUGGUGAGUAACACGUGGGAAACCUGCCCAGAAGCGGGGGAUAACACCUGGAAACAGAUGCUAAUACCGCAUAACAACUUGGACCGCAUGGUCCGAGUUUGAAAGAUGGCUUCGGCUAUCACUUUUGGAUGGUCCCGCGGCGUAUUAGCUAGAUGGUGGGGUAACGGCUCACCAUGGCAAUGAUACGUAGCCGACCUGAGAGGGUAAUCGGCCACAUUGGGACUGAGACACGGCCCAAACUCCUACGGGAGGCAGCAGUAGGGAAUCUUCCACAAUGGACGAAAGUCUGAUGGAGCAACGCCGCGUGAGUGAAGAAGGGUUUCGGCUCGUAAAACUCUGUUGUUAAAGAAGAACAUAUCUGAGAGUAACUGUUCAGGUAUUGACGGUAUUUAACCAGAAAGCCACGGCUAACUACGUGCCAGCAGCCGCGGUAAUACGUAGGUGGCAAGCGUUGUCCGGAUUUAUUGGGCGUAAAGCGAGCGCAGGCGGUUUUUUAAGUCUGAUGUGAAAGCCUUCGGCUCAACCGAAGAAGUGCAUCGGAAACUGGGAAACUUGAGUGCAGAAGAGGACAGUGGAACUCCAUGUGUAGCGGUGAAAUGCGUAGAUAUAUGGAAGAACCACCCAGUGGCGAAGGCGGCUGUCUGGUCUGUAACUGACGCUGAGGCUCGAAAGUAUGGGUAGCAAACAGGAUUAGAUACCCUGGUAGUCCAUACCGUAAACGAUGAAUGCUAAGUGUUGGAGGGUUUCCGCCCUUCAGUGCUGCAGCUAACGCAUUAAGCAUUCCGCCUGGGGAGUACGGCCGCAAGGCUGAAACUCAAAGGAAUUGACGGGGGCCCGCACAAGCGGUGGAGCAUGUGGUUUAAUUCGAAGCUACGCGAAGAACCUUACCAGGUCUUGACAUACUAUGCAAAUCUAAGAGAUUAGACGUUCCCUUCGGGGACAUGGAUACAGGUGGUGCAUGGUUGUCGUCAGCUCGUGUCGUGAGAUGUUGGGUUAAGUCCCGCAACGAGCGCAACCCUUAUUAUCAGUUGCCAGCAUUAAGUUGGGCACUCUGGUGAGACUGCCGGUGACAAACCGGAGGAAGGUGGGGAUGACGUCAAAUCAUCAUGCCCCUUAUGACCUGGGCUACACACGUGCUACAAUGGAUGGUACAACGAGUUGCGAACUCGCGAGAGUAAGCUAAUCUCUUAAAGCCAUUCUCAGUUCGGAUUGUAGGCUGCAACUCGCCUACAUGAAGUCGGAAUCGCUAGUAAUCGCGGAUCAGCAUGCCGCGGUGAAUACGUUCCCGGGCCUUGUACACACCGCCCGUCACACCAUGAGAGUUUGUAACACCCAAAGUCGGUGGGGUAACCUUUUAGGAACCAGCCGCCUAAGGUGGGAG
Molecule: ribosomal RNA, 1466 nt
Filed under: Lactiplantibacillus pentosus
Lineage: Bacteria; Bacillati; Bacillota; Bacilli; Lactobacillales; Lactobacillaceae
Description: bacterial SSU rRNA
Rfam family: Bacterial small subunit ribosomal RNA
Source: RNAcentral